GACGAACGCUGGCGGCGUGCUUAACACAUGCAAGUCGAACGGGGUCCAACCUCUCGCAAGAGAGGGGAAGACCUAGUGGCGAACGGGUGCGUAACACGUGAGGAACCUGCCCCGAAGACCGGGACAACACCGGGAAACCGGUGCUAAUACCGGAUAUCCCCAUCGAAUCGCAUGGUUUGAUGAGGAAAUGGGUUCCGCUUUGGGAGGGCCUCGCGGCCUAUCAGCUUGUUGGUGAGGUAACGGCUCACCAAGGCUU
This 256-nucleotide ribosomal RNA is filed under the name uncultured Actinomycetes bacterium. RNAcentral describes it as "uncultured actinobacterium partial 16S ribosomal RNA". It matches the Rfam family "Bacterial small subunit ribosomal RNA", at positions 28 to 276 of the family's 1533-position model. Lineage: Bacteria; Bacillati; Actinomycetota; Actinomycetes. The record is from RNAcentral.